UACGUAGGGUGCGAGCGUUAAUCGGAAUUACUGGGCGUAAAGCGUGCGCAGGCGCUAUGCAAGACAGAUGUGAAAUCCCCGGGCUCAACCUGGGAACUGCAUUUGUGACUGCAUAGCUAGAGUACGGUAGAGGGGGAUGGAAUUCCGCGUGUAGCAGUGAAAUGCGUAGAUAUGCGGAGGAACACCGAUGCCGAAGGCAAUCCCCUGGACCUGUAC
RNAcentral lists this ribosomal RNA (216 nucleotides) under uncultured bacterium. Its description in RNAcentral is "partial 16S ribosomal RNA". It matches the Rfam family "Bacterial small subunit ribosomal RNA", at positions 524 to 740 of the family's 1533-position model. The record is from RNAcentral.